This 385-nucleotide ribosomal RNA is filed under the name uncultured bacterium. Its description in RNAcentral is "bacterial SSU rRNA". It matches the Rfam family "Bacterial small subunit ribosomal RNA", at positions 957 to 1342 of the family's 1533-position model. The record is from RNAcentral.
UAACGCGAAGAACCUUACCAAGGCUUGACAUACACGAGAACGGGCCAGAAAUGGUCAACUCUUUGGACACUCGUGAACAGGUGGUGCAUGGUUGUCGUCAGCUCGUGUCGUGAGAUGUUGGGUUAAGUCCCGCAACGAGCGCAACCCUUGUUCACUGUUGCCAGCACGUUAUGGUGGGGACUCAGUGGAGACCGCCGGGGUCAACUCGGAGGAAGGUGGGGAUGACGUCAAGUCAUCAUGCCCCUUAUGUCCAGGGCUUCACGCAUGCUACAAUGGCUGGUACAGAGAGUGGCGAGCCUGUGAGGGUGAGCGAAUCUCGGAAAGCCGGUCUCAGUUCGGAUUGGGGUCUGCAACUCGACCUCAUGAAGUCGGAGUCGCUAGUAAU